This is a long non-coding RNA of Centrocercus urophasianus (Greater sage-grouse), 1307 nucleotides long. RefSeq lists it as uncharacterized. The transcript has 2 exons. The record is from RefSeq and is a predicted model, not a curated record. Lineage: Eukaryota; Metazoa; Chordata; Aves; Galliformes; Phasianidae.
CUUCACUUCACUUUGGAAAACAGCUCCUACAUUACUGCUCUUCUUCAGGGUUACUGAAAAACCAUCUCCAGGACAGCUUUAUUGUUUAACAAAGGUCCAUAAUUGCUGUGUAAUCCAGGAGCUGCAUCUCAGCAGGUCAAACUGGGGCUGGGAUGGACAACUGGCAACAUGUGCAAACUGGAUGAACUCAGGAAUGAACACGGCUGGAAUGAACUCUUGCAUUGCAGCCUGAGAAGUCAGUGUGGGCUGAUGUGGUUAGAGGGCAAACUGCUCCCCGGUGCCUUGCAGCCUAUCUCUGACACGUGCAGGUGCUCUCAGAGCGUGCAACUGUUCAAAAGGACACGAGCCCGAGUGUGCCUCUCCCACUAGCUAAGGAACAGAAGCACACAUGCAAAUGAUUCAGGUGCUGCUUCAAAGCCGAGCGCUACAGAGGAGAUAUGUGGUAGAGGUGAGAGCUGUGGCAGUGGAGAUAAAGGCAGCCCUGAGUGAGGAGCUCCAGGAGCACCUCAGGGAGGGGUCCAUCAUCAGCCCUGGGAGAAGCCAGACCAACACCUGGGAGAUUAUUUCAGCCUUAUCUUCAGAUGUUUGUUUUUCCCUUCGUAUUGCACCAGGCCAUAUUUCUUUCCCAGGUGAAGAUCUGAGCUGGUGCCUCUCCCACCCUCUGGCUUUGCAGUGCCAAUGGCUGCGCCGUGCACCUGCUGGGAAGUGAGCUCAGGCUGGGUGAAGCCACAGAGUCCAAACACAUUGCUGUAUGAAGCACAGAAGGAGAGGUUUUUUUCCAAACGUGCUCCUGGAUGGCUCUGCAGAAGACGUCCUGUCCUAUUCUUCCCUUGUAAGCCAGUGCCUGGGCUGAAGGCAGCCAGAGAGCCUGGUGGGAUGGAGCAGCUUUCAGCAGCUCAGCUGGGAGGCAGGCAGUGACUUAAACUGACUUACAGGCUAUGGAUAGAGCUGUCUUGGUUUGGUGGGUGAGCAGCUUCCGUGCCCCUGCUGCCCUCACCUUGGGACUGCAGGUUGAUACUGAGUUUCAAUAUUGGAUACCACUGGAAGAGAGAAGGAAGUAAAGCAGCCAAGGCGAUAGCUGCUGUCCUGGGAGCAAAAUUGCUGCCCUAGUGCUCUGUAUAAUAACACAAUGAAAGGAACAGCUCCUAACUCUUGGGAAGCAGGAUCCAGCUGUGCCAUCUCCCACGUGGAUGUGGCCGUGCUGGAGCAGCAGCUCAGCACAGACUGUAUGGUGAACUGCUGGAAGCCAGACCGAGCUGCAGAUGACAAGGACAAUAAAUGUGCUUCUGGCACAGCUAACAGCACAG